AGUCAACUGGAGGUAUCAAAACUACUGAAAUUUUGUUAUGAUCAAUAUUUGAAUAAAAUGAGGACAUGCUGGUAUCCUAAAUUUAUGCGAACAAAAAUUUGUUGUUAUUAUAUUGCAAUAUUGCUGUCCAUUGUCAUGAUUGUAUUAUACAUUGAAUCCUGACAUAAAAAAAUAUGGCUGAUUUACUAUGUGGGUAUAUAGAUUUACAAAUUAAAGUGCAUAUAUGGUAAGUUUUGGUGGAUGCGGUCAAAUAAUUUUGUUGUACAAGUCAACUGGAGGCAUUAAAACUACUGAAAUUUUGUUACGUAUCAGUAUUUUAAGUUAAAAGAGGACAUGCUGGCACCCUUAAUUUAGGUGAACAAAAAUUUGUUGUUAUUAUAUUGCAAUAUUGCUGUCCAUUGUCAUGAUUGUAUUAUACAUUGAAUCCUGACAUUAAAAAUAAGGCUGAUUUACUAUGCUGGUAUAUAGAUUUACAAUUUAAAGUUCACAUAUGGUCAGUUUUGGUAAUGUGGUCAAAUAAUUUUGUUGUACAAGUCAGCUGGAGGUAUCAAAACUACUGAAAUUUUGUUACGUAUCAAUAUUUUGAAUAAAAUGAGGACAUGCUGGUAUCCUAAAUUUAUGCGAACCAAAAUUUUUUGUUAUUAUAUUGCAAUUUUGCUGUCCAUUGUCAUGAUUGUAUUAUACAUUGAAUCCUGACAUCAAAAAUGUGGCUGAUUUACUAUGCGGGUAUAUAGAUUUACAAAUUAAAGUGCACAUAUGGUCAGUUUUGGUGGAUGCGGUCAAAUAAUUUUGUUGUACAAGUCAACUGGAGGUAUCAAAACUACUGAAAUUUUG
Molecule: long non-coding RNA, 834 nt
Filed under: Mytilus galloprovincialis (Mediterranean mussel)
Lineage: Eukaryota; Metazoa; Mollusca; Bivalvia; Mytilida; Mytilidae
Source: RNAcentral